This 389-nucleotide ribosomal RNA is filed under the name uncultured bacterium. RNAcentral's name for it is "bacterial SSU rRNA". It matches the Rfam family "Bacterial small subunit ribosomal RNA", at positions 28 to 418 of the family's 1533-position model. The record is from RNAcentral.
GACGAACGCUGGCGGCGUGCUUAACACAUGCAAGUCGAGCGGUAAGGCCCUUUCGGGGGUACACGAGCGGCGAACGGGUGAGUAACACGUGGGUGACCUGCCUUUAGCUCUGGGAUAAGCCUGGGAAACUGGGUCUAAUACCGGAUACGACUCCGCGGUGCAUGCUGUGGGGUGGAAAGCCUUGUGCGGCUGGAGGUGGGCCCGCGGCCUAUCAGCUUGUUGGUGGGGUGAUGGCCUACCAAGGCGACGACGGGUAGCCGGCCUGAGAGGGCGACCGGCCACACUGGGACUGAGACACGGCCCAGACUCCUACGGGAGGCAGCAGUGGGGAAUCUUGCGCAAUGGGCGAAAGCCUGACGCAGCGACGCCGCGUGAGGGAUGACGGCCUU